CAUGCAAGUCGAACGUGCAGCACGGGUGCUUGCACCUGGUGGCGAGUGGCGAACGGGUGAGUAAUACAUCGGAACAUGUCCUGUAGUGGGGGAUAGCCCGGCGAAAGCCGGAUUAAUACCGCAUACGAUCUACGGAUGAAAGCGGGGGACCUUCGGGCCUCGCGCUAUAGGGUUGGCCGAUGGCUGAUUAGCUAGUUGGUGGGGUAAAGGCCUACCAAGGCGACGAUCAGUAGCUGGUCUGAGAGGACGACCAGCCACACUGGGACUGAGACACGGCCCAGACUCCUACGGGAGGCAGCAGUGGGGAAUUUUGGACAAUGGGCGAAAGCCUGAUCCAGCAAUGCCGCGUGUGUGAAGAAGGCCUUCGGGUUGUAAAGCACUUUUGUCCGGAAAGAAAUCCUUGGUUCUAAUAUAGCCGGGGGAUGACGGUACCGGAAGAAUAAGCACCGGCUAACUACGUGCCAGCAGCCGCGGUAAUACGUAGGGUGCGAGCGUUAAUCGGAAUUACUGGGCGUAAAGCGUGCGCAGGCGGUUUGCUAAGACCGAUGUGAAAUCCCCGGGCUCAACCUGGGAACUGCAUUGGUGACUGGCAGGCUAGAGUAUGGC
RNAcentral lists this ribosomal RNA (606 nucleotides) under uncultured beta proteobacterium. RNAcentral's name for it is "bacterial SSU rRNA". It matches the Rfam family "Bacterial small subunit ribosomal RNA", at positions 54 to 652 of the family's 1533-position model. Lineage: Bacteria; Pseudomonadati; Pseudomonadota; Betaproteobacteria. The record is from RNAcentral.